AGUAGUAUUUUCGAUCAAUGGAGCAUGCUGAUCAGCAAUGCGCGUGAGGAGAGCGUCGGUAGUCAAGCUCUUCGUCAGGAAGAAUCGGGCAGGGAUAUACCUUGUCUAAUGACGGUACAUGAUGAGCAGCACUGGCUACUACGUGCAGCAGCCGCAGUAAUACGUAGCGUGCAAGCGUUAAUCGGAAUUAGUGGGCGUAAAGCGUGCGCAGGCGGUUUAAGUAAGUCUGUCGUGAAAUCCCCGGGCUCAACGUGGGAAUGGCGAUGGAGACUGCAAGGCUAGAAUCUGGCAGAGGGGGAUAGAAUUCCACGUGUAGCAGUGAAAUGCGUAGAGAUGUGGAGGAACACCGAUGGGGAAGGCAGCCCCCUGGGUCAAGAUUGACGCUCAUGCACGAAAGCGUGGGGAGCAAACAGGAUUAGAUACCUUGGUAGUCCACGCCCUAAACGAUGUCUACUAGUUGUCGGGUUUUAAUUAACUUGGUAACGCAGCUAACGCGUGAAGUAGACCGCCUGGGGAGUACGGUCGCAAGAUUAAAACUCAAAGGAAUUGACGGGGACCCGCACAAGCGGUGGAUGAUGUGGAUUAAUUCGAUGCAACGCGAAAAACCUUACCUACCCUUGACAUGUACGGAAGCCACGAGAGAUCGAGGUGUGCUCGAAAGAGAGCCGUAACACAGGUGCUGCAUGGCUGUCGUCAGCUCGUGUCGUGAGAUGUUGGGUUAAGUCCCGCAACGAGCGCAACCCUUGUCAUUAGUUGCUACGAAAGGGCACUCUAAUGAGACUGCCGGUGACAAACCGGAGGAAGGUGGGGAUGACGUCAAGUCCUCAUGGCCCUUAUGGGUAGGGCUUCACACGUCAUACAAUGGUACAUACAGAGCGCCGCCAACCCGCGAGGGGGAGCAAUCGCAGAAAGUGUAUCGUAGUCCGGAUUGUAGUCUGCAACUCGACUGCAUGAAGUUGGAAUCGCUAGUAAUCGCGGAUCAGCAUGUCGCGGUGAAUACGUUCCCGGGUCUUGUACACACCGCCCGUCACACCAUGGGAGCGGGUUUUACCAGAAGUAGGUAGCUUAACCGCAAGGAGGGCGCUACCACGGUAGAUUGUG
Molecule: ribosomal RNA, 1101 nt
Filed under: Massilia violaceinigra
Lineage: Bacteria; Pseudomonadati; Pseudomonadota; Betaproteobacteria; Burkholderiales; Oxalobacteraceae
Description: bacterial SSU rRNA
Rfam family: Bacterial small subunit ribosomal RNA
Source: RNAcentral